UACAGAGGUCCCAAGCGUUGUUCGGAUUCACUGGGCGUAAAGGGUGCGUAGGUGGCGGGGUAAGUCGGAUGUGAAAGCUCGGAGCUCAACUCCGAAAUGGCAUUGGAAACUACCUUGCUCGAGGGUUGGAGGGGGGACUGGAAUGCUUGGUGUAGCAGUGAAAUGCGUAGAUAUCAAGCGGAACACCAGUGGCGAAGGCGAGUCCCUGGACAACUCCUGACACUGAGGCACGAAGGCCAGGGGAGCAAACGGG
Molecule: ribosomal RNA, 253 nt
Filed under: uncultured bacterium
Lineage: Bacteria
Description: partial 16S ribosomal RNA
Rfam family: Bacterial small subunit ribosomal RNA
Source: RNAcentral